Molecule: ribosomal RNA, 398 nt
Filed under: Sphaenorhynchus surdus
Lineage: Eukaryota; Metazoa; Chordata; Amphibia; Anura; Hylidae
Description: partial 16S ribosomal RNA
Rfam family: Bacterial large subunit ribosomal RNA
Source: RNAcentral
ACUUGUUCUUUAAAUGAGGACUAGUAUGAAUGGCACCACGAAGGUUCUACUGUCUCCCUUUUUUAAUCAGUGAAACUAAUCUUCCCGUGAAGAAGCGGGAAUAAACUUAUAAGACGAGAAGACCCUAUGGAGCUUUAAACUAUUUAUCAAUUGCUCAUCCAUUACCACUAUUUCAGAACCAUAUCUUUUAUUAUAGCUUUUUGAUAAUAAGUUUUAGGUUGGGGUGACCGCGGAGUAAAAAAUAACCUCCAUAUUGAAAGGAAACCUUUCCUGAGCAAAAAACUACAAUUUUAUGCACCAAUAUACUGACAUUAAUUGACCCAAUAAUUUGACCAACGAACCAAGUUACCCUAGGGAUAACAGCGCAAUCUACUUCAAGAGCUCCUAUCGACAAGUAG